AGUUAGAGGCAUUUUAUUAGAAGUAUCAAACGUUGAAGUGUCCUCAGAGAACUAUGUGAAAUUCUCAAAGCCAGUAAAAUAUAAAUCAUCAGAAGCAAUAGAUAUAUCAGUUACUGAGCUCUGCACUCACAUAAAAGUCCAUGCUGGGAAAAUCUGUGAAGUAAAAAUGUCACUACCUGUCUAUACUGGCAGGCUUUCUGGCGGCAUCCUUAAAGUCUCCCCAAGGCUUCAUCCACCAAAUAAUUUGGAUCCAAGCAUCACGACAAACACACACACACACACACACACAGAAGCUACUGUACCCUAGUUUCCUUGACAUAGUGUCUUAUCUCAUAAAGGCCUCCCAGAACGCAGGGUAUACUGCAUUUCCGUAAGAAGGAAAGAAAAUGAAAACACUAUAUUGGAAUCAAAAUGAUAAUUCCCAAGGUGAUCAUUGACAGCACAGAAAUUUGCCAAAUGAUUGAGAUGGAAAAUAGGCCCUGCUCCACUCCCCUCUUUGGUUAUCUUAUGUUAUCUACAGACGUGACACUUUAGUGUUUACGAGAAUUUCUCUUCUUCGUCAUGUUUCUAAUUAGAAAAAACGGUAAUUUGGUUUAGAUAUGCAAUUCAUCAGUUGUGAGAUCUAAAUGCAAAGAAUUGUAUGCUUGUAGUAUGUAAUGCAAGCCGAAGGUAAUCAUUGAGAAUCAGAAAUAGGGGACUAAAAUGAGUUUAUAUGCUACGGAUGUAAGGUGACAGUGCAGUGAAGUCAUCUUCCAAGGCUGAACAAAUUGUAAACAAUAGCUCCAGGUCAAUAAUUUUGUAUUUAAUAACUUUACACAUCAAGUUUCACCAUACAAUGCCUUGAAUCAAGUUUUUUAUUCCAAGAAUUAAGGGAAAUGUCCAACACUUUUAUUGCAGUAUUGGAAAACUUGAUGGAAACUGGUAGUUAAUUGUCAUGGUUUGUAUAGCAGAUUAAGCAUUUCCUUCAGACAGACAGUGGGUCUACAUUCUUAACAUUUCACCAUGGGAACUUGUCAAAGUGUAUCUGAAUAUAGAAAAUAUGGCCCACAAUACUUGAAUUUCACUAUGAAAAUCUGCUGCUAAGUCUGUCAAGUAAUCACACUUCUACACACUCAACCUUGUUCAUAACGUCUCCCAUCAGUUGUACACAUCUAAAUAAAUCUGUACAUAUCACAUAUAUUUUAUACAUAGACAUUUGUCCUGACCUGCAGAACUAAUAUGCCGAUUCUAGUUCUGAUUACCUAAUGAAUAUUACUUCACGUAACCCUUUAGCAGAGCGGACGGUUUCUGAUAGCCUUGAGUUGAUGAAUACAUUUUUUUUCCUAGAGUAACCGAUGAAAUAGAUUUUCUUUCCCGCCUUUCUAUUAGAUGGUAAAGAAAGAGUAAUUGAAGCCAAUAUGUAGCCAUAGGAUCAGGGGAAAAGGAUCAAGCACAUCCUCCUUUUGACCCAGUUAUCGGUCGACCUGGUCUCCCUCCAACUGAAUCAUUACGUCUGCGGUGUGAUCCCAACCGAGCGCCACCACUCUCCAUUACCCACAGGUGUCUUCAAGUCACUUCUGACUUUGCUCAGUCUGCCUGUAGCUCCCUUGAUAUAUUAUGGGAUGGUAAUUGGAUGGGGAGUAGCCACGAGUCAGAGUGGCCGGAACAUGAAUCAAGUUGGACGGCGCAUAUGUUUGUACCAGGUGACACAUACGAUGUCGUCGCUCUUGGAGAACAUAGCAAUGGUUCUUCAUUUUGAUGGGUAACGACAGCAGUUAAAAUUGUACUGUGAUGCUGUCAUAAGGGCUAUUUUGAUUUCCUGUGCGUCAACUUUUUUUUCUAAUAGUUUUGGUACAGAUAAAAAAAACUGCUAAUGGUCUGAUUUUUAUUAGCCCAGUUUAUGGAAUGAGGAAAUCAUUUUCUAAAGGUUUUAAUUGGGUCAGGCCUUUCUUUUAAAGGUUGUGGAAUCUAAAUUGUUAUUUUUACCAAUACAGCAAUGUCUUUUACACCCCAAACUAUAAGGAAAGACGUCCAGCAACGCAACUAUCACACAAGUAAGUAAAGAUCUUAACAUCCAGGUUUCCAUUUGAAAAAACAAAAAUGCUUCAGAGUAAGAGAAAAGUGAAAACUGAUUUGAUCCCGCUUAAAGGCUUUUGUCAUAAUAUUUGGAUUCAGAGGUGCAUUGCACGGUGCUUGCUGCAUCCAGUCCCAAGCCUUUGGUUAGUCUACCAGUUGCUUGGAUUGGAUCAAUUAUGCCUUUGUGGGACGUGAGGGGUUGUUCGGCCUUGGAGGUUCCCUUAGUCAGCACAUGGCUCCUUAGAUAUAAUAUCCUGUUUCCACAGUGUGUGCUGCCAGUUAUUUGUUGUAUUUCCCCUGGCUCUUCACGCAAUAUGCUGUUCAGAUGAUGUGUGUGUGUGCAGGGAAGGACUGUUUGCUUAUUUGAAAUAAACAGCAUAAUACUUCAUGUCAUUAGAGACUAAUGCUAUGGGGAUCUUUAAUGAUACAAUGGUAAGUCUUCACUCUUAAAAUAUUAAACAAAGCCAAUCUUGUCUUUUUUUGGGAAGGGACAAGGGACUAUUUUAGGGGGAGAUGGCAGGCAUACGCUGUGUUAUACAUCAUCUGAAAGCUGAAAACCUGAAAUUAAUUUGAGAAGCAGCUCAGCCGUCUGUAUCAUGUUGCUAAAGUUAUGAAUCAGGAAUUCAAAUUGAUUCAUUUAGAUGGAUUUUAAAACGGUAAAAGGACUGAACAUUAUGAUAAAAGUGGUUGACGUCCAUUACAAUUCUCUAGUAUGUGUCAUAAAUUAUUAGAAUAAUUCUUGGGGUAAUACGAUUCUUCAUACAAUUUUAGUGCUAAAGUCUUUAUUAAUCAAGAACUAAUCAAUAUGAUGUAAUUAUAUAAUAAUAAUAGGAAAUUCAACAUUUUUCAGAAGUACAUUUUUGAGAGUUUCUAGAACUUCUAAAUGUUCUGUUCUGCUCAAAAACUCCUUCAUUACCCACAAAUGGCUACUAUGGUGACUCAUCACUGGACUUGUUUGUAAGAGUCUCACUUUUCAUAUUCAAAUACACCAUUUUCAAACAUGCCACUGACAAAAUCUGCAUGGGAUUAACAUUAAUCUGUGUAUGGGGGACGUGUGUGUACAUAGAACCAAUCUACAUUGACAGUACAUAUAUUGAGGUGAGAGGUCAAGAGACCCUGAGCGUUAUUCAUCCGAGACUUGCAGCCUUGCAAUUGAAAAGGGAACAUAACAUUCCCGUGCGACCAUUAACCAUACAGUUUUAUCAGGAGCCAAGAAUCUCAAUGUCAGCCCCCCCACCCCCUCCUGUAAUAAUUUCUGAAGUGUGGAAAUGGAAACACAUGAUCAUUUUGUAAUGUUUUGAAAUGCCAUAAUUUUGACUCAUUAACCCAUCACACUUAAUUUGCACUGACAGCCACAUUGUGCUUGGAGGGAGAGAUCUACCCCGUUCAUUGCGUAAUCAUUUCGUUCUAUGCUUUGCAAGCAGUCUGACAUGCCUCCCCAUCAAGGCCCACAGACACCUCCAUCCUCAUGCUCUGCUUUUUUGCUUUGAUGUACGUAGAUCUGUCACCGGCAGCAUUGGUGUGCAGAGUAGAUAGACCUGAUAUUUACUAUUACUUACAGUGUUUCACAGGAUAUUCUUUUGAAUUAUUAAAAAAAAUGUUUUUUGUGGAGGAUAAAUGAGGCUUACGCAUAAUAGACGCAUCGGCAGUGUUUUAUUACUGUUAGAUGCAGAUUAUAUUUUAUUCAUCAGAAAGCGUAACCCUUACAUGAAAAACAUUCAGAUAUUUGAAUUCAUAGUUAAUAAAGGUAACUGACACUAUAAUGCUCAUCAUAUAACAAACCACAAGCUUCUGGUAGAGCUUCCUAAAAAUGUCAUAAAAAACGUCAGACUGAAUCACAAUGCACCUACACACCAAAUCAAAACAUCAGAGAAACGGCAAAUAACUAAGAGGAAUAAAUACCCUCAGGCUGUGUUAACUUAUCGAUGCAUUAUCUGUGGCUGUUUUUACAAAUUGUUACUCAAUAAAUCAUGUAAAGAAAAAAUACCAAUCAAAGUCAAUUAGAACAAAGUGGAAUACAUCAUUUUAACAUUAAAAGCCUUAAUCGAUGAUCAGAAAAGCAACAGACAUUGCGAACAUCACCUGAGAAUUAAUUGCCAAGGACUAAAAUGACCUUUAACAUUCUUUUGUGAUGCCAGCAAGUGCACCGUUGCUUGUUUAAUCCAAUCCGCAAUACAAAUGUUCUUAAAAAAAAAAAGCUGCAGAUCAAUCGGCUGUUACUUCAUGUCAGGUAUAAAUGGAGCGUGAGCAAUGGAGGGAGCAGUGUGCUGGCAUUGUUCCAACAGGGGACCUGCAAACAGAAGGGAAGCAGGCCUUGCCAGGUAUGGAUGCAGCAACAAUGGCAACACCUUGACAUGAGUUGGUGAUACAGAGCUCAAACUACGCAGUUAGGAAUAUUCCAUUUUGGUUGCUGCUCAGCCAGGCAGGUGGAGCGGAAGCCUUAAAAAAAAAAAGUGUAUUUGUAUGUUCCAGCUGAAAUGAAGGUAUAUGGUACAUGUGUAAAUAAUUGAGAGUGUCCGUGAAACCUGGAAUGGGAACCCUUGAACCGGCACCGGUUUGGCAUUGUUGCCUAGCAAUAAUAGUAGCAUUAGAAACUGUAUAAAAAUAUCUGUGACCCUGAAGUCUGAAGCAUUUCUAGUGAGACAAGCUCUAAUUUUAUUAUCCUGAAAUUGCAAGGUUGAAAAACAUUGAUGGACUUACGCUACAAUAUGAUUUCAUAAGUUUGCAAAGCAGAUAGAGAAGGAGAUCCCUCCUCAAUAGAUGCCAUUAUAGAUCCUAGAGAAAUAUGUCUAAAGCUCAAAAAGCUUCUCAAAAUGUGUCGCUUUCAAAAGGUUGAGGUGCAAGUAGCCUUUCCAAUGUCUUACACCUCCUCAGCAGCAAAACAAAAAAACCCUGCCUUGUAUUUAAGCCUUUAAAGGUCGACUUGAGUGGCGCAGAAAGGCUACUGACUGUAGAACUGGCGCAAUGAUUAAGAUGAUCGAUCAUAGUGUGAAUGUCAUUCUAAUGUAAACGCAGCACCGUGCACCAUAUCGCAGUGUUUGACUCCUUCACCGCUUUCGGUUCGCAGUGAUUCAACCAUGAGGGGGGUUUCGAAUGAUUUUUAGUCCUCGAUACUAAUGACAGAAUGAGCUCUCGGAUAAAGCCACCGCCUUUUGAAAUACACAGACAGCGUACUCCCACUCACUCCGCUCCCAGACGCUCUGCUCUGCAGAAAAUAUCUCCUGCCCCGCGCUGCCAGCUUGAACUGCGCCCAUUGGCUGUCUGUCUUUGCCAUAGCGAGAGGACUACAGAUAGACAUUGAGGCUCCUUCCUGCCUCAGGCAGUCCUGUUACUAAACUACACAGGACGACAACAAAAACCCAUGCCCCUGAAUCGAGAGACAACCAGUGCCCGCCUAUAAGUAGCAGCUGAAUAAAUGUACCUACACUUACGACCUGAGCCUUUGCAUGAUUGCAGUUCAGUUGCUGUGAAGCACUGUGACCUAAAUCAGCUCCCCAGAUAGGAUGUAAAGAUAGAACAUGUAUUGAAUUGAAGUACACGAAAGUUAACAGAGCUUGAAGUGAACUGAGACGAACCAAGCCAGAGUAAGCUGAAUAGAGUUGAUGGUUUGGAAUGGGAUGAAAUGUUAUUACAAAAUAGCUGAAUUAGAUUUGAGGCGAGGGCUUGGUGAGAAGGAGAAAUGAAGAGCUUCACUGCACCUUUUACAGUUCUCGGUACUGUUUAUAGUGAAGUGAAAAUAUAGUCGGUUUCUUCUUUCGGGUUACUGCGGAAAAAACCUGCAGCAGCACAAGGAUCCAUGACAGUUUGGUGACGCGCUGCAGUUCUUGGCAGAAAGGAACCUGUAGUCUGUUUCUAUAUGGUCUUGCGGCAAAGCAAAUAAGCAUAUACAUAUAUGUGCAUAUAAUUUAUCCUCAAGCUCAAACGUCUAAACAACUAUCGGAUGGAUUGCAAGAAAACUUAGAUGAAGGCCCUUGUUUUCUUUCCGGCACAAUGAGGUUGAUGUUUUUGUUUCAGAGGGAUUGCCAUGUGACUUGCUGAAAUCACACGGUACCCAGAGGAUACAUCCUAAAAGCUUUGGCAAUUGUCUCACCAGUGGGGUGAAGAUUUUACGUAUCCUGUGAAUUAUCAUAGCAUUGACCAGAUGCAUUACCACAAAAUGUUGCACAGACGGUCAUAUAUUAUUCCAUAUUUGUUGGUUGUGAGGGAAACGUCUUUCGGUUAAGGAAGCUUGAUCAUCAAACUAUCAAAACAAUCUCACUGAUAAAAAUGGCUUCGUUAGGAAAAACAGAUUAACAGUGGGCGUAGUGUUUUGCACACUGAUUGUUGAGGUGAAAUGUGUCCACGUUGGAUGGAUUACGGCUAAAUUAGGCACACACAUUGUAGCAGCGUGCUAUCCCUCCCUAAUGUUGCCCUUAGGAUGAAUCGCAGUCACCUUGCUGAACCCUCUGGCCUUUUGGUUGUGCCAGCCUUUGGUGAAAAGGUUUUUGUUUCUUUUGACUGCAUGUCCUAAUAAUUAAACCUAUUCCCAUCAGCCGUACAUGUAUUUUGUGUUAAAGCCUAAUUAGUGAAACUCAGCAUGCAACACUCUGAACUACGAUAGUAAGCGUGGCCAAGGUUGGACCUGCUUAAAAUAAGCAUGUUUGCAUUGUUAUUGUGAGCACGUUUGCAUGCUGAGCAUUGCAUGAGCAUUUGCAUGCUCAUAUCAGCAGCACAGCUGUGCCUAAAUACGGCAUCACAGAGCAGCUAGCAUGGCUGUAGACUCUCGUAUUGUUAUAGAAAGAAGGAACGUCUGAUUUUAAAAAGGCAAGGUAGGUUGUAGGUUUUCAAACUGUUUGGUAGUUUUUGCACCUAUUAACCUGGUACAUCUUUUAUCUUACAUUUUAAGUCACAGCACUGCACUAGCGAUGCACAUUCACACCAUAUUUAGAAAAAUCAACAAUUUUUCCUGUUUUUUUCUCAUUAUUAAACUUAAUACUGAUGUUGUGUGUAGAGAAAAGAGAGAGCCCAGGGCAUGAAAAGGGCAAGGCAGGGUGGGUUUGUUUUCCCCUCUGUGUAAUAAAGGUUCAGAAUCAUAAUAUCAAGAUGUGCUCUGAUUAGGAAGAUUGUCGACCUGGCUUUUUGACUACAAUUAUCAACUACCAAAUAUUAAAUACCAGAUACUGGUUUAUGUGAAGCAGUUAAGUCUGUUUGUUCUCUGUGAUCUAGUUACUAGUUUUGUCUUUGCCAUAAAAACUGGCCUAAAGUUCUGGCAUCCUUAUUUCACGAUUUAUGCAUAAGCAUGAUUGGUACAUUUGGACAUUAACUGACAGGAACUGAAUCCAACAUCUGAUUUUAGGUAAAGCUUUAACCAAUGACUAAUUAUUAUGGGGACUGUAACUCACCGGCUGAUAAAUAUGUGCAAGAAUGUGACCUUUUGCAGAUAUAAUUGUCUCUCACCAGAUAAUAUAAUUGGCUGUGCUGAAUACCAUGGGGAGAACAAUUAAGGAUAACAAGCAAAUAUUCUUUGUCCUUAAACAGUAAUGCGAAGGAGUUGAAAAUAGAUGAUUCAGAGCUGUUUAUGCAGGCUUUUACUGCAACUUAACAUGGCAGGCGUACCAUCACAAUACCUACACAUUCACAGUGGAUGUACACUUUGCUGAUUACAAGCCAUUCCUGUAAAAUAGAUUAGACACGCCGUGUGCUGCAGAGGUUAAGCAUGGAGCUACACAUGCAGAAAAUGACAGUGUAAUUACUGGGAUGACUGCAGCAUCCCCGAGACCUGCUUUAGCUCAGUAAGAAGCUGACAACAAACAAGCUCAGCUUCUAAAUAUGACUUGUCGGGCGUUUGUAAGGGAACCUGCAACACACGGCAGAACACGCAAACCAAAAUCAAAAGGAUGUUUUUUAGGACACCGUAAAGGCAUUGAUUUAAAACCCACCUGUGUUUUUUAAAAUCUAUAUGUCUUUACCAACAGAUGAGGAUGGAAAGAGAGCUUUGAACGGUAAAAAUGCUCCACAUCCACAGCGUGUAUCAUUUAUAAGAAAAAUAUCUCUAUUGUUAAUUUAUAGAUGAGUUUUGUCUUCUUUUUCUCCUUGGGAGUUGGUGGAGCCUGUGCAACACUGCUGCUGCUGCAGCGUAUCUGUGCUUGAGGAGUAUGUUUUUUUGUUGUCAGCAGCAUUUUUUUUUUUUACUUCUACAUAAUUCAUAACUCUGUCCCUCACUUUCAUAUAGUUCUACUCAAAUGCAAGUCAACCACUUCCACACAGACACUGAAAUAGUUCUGAGCAUCCUUUUCUUGGCAAGGUAAACCUCCUCACUCACACAGACUGAAAUCUGACUUAGUCCAAGUGUAAUGCUGUGUAGAUUACAUGGAGCUUGUGUUUGCACAGAGAACUGGUGGUUGCAUGUGAUUGUAUGGCCGAGGCUAUAACAAUGUUCCUGGAACAACCUUUGUUAUAACCAACAAUGACAUGUACUGUAUUUUAAUUUCACCCCAUUAAUCCUGAGCCCUCUGAUUCACAUGGCUUCCAACAACAGGCCUAAUCUUUAUUAUAUAUCAUUUUUACACAAUACACAUACAGUAUUAAGAAGAUUCAUACCACUCUCCUGGACAAACUUUUCCCCAGUCCCAUGCUGUACGCUAAACCGAAAGGACUGGCUACUGUUGGUAACUUUAUGAUCCAAGGGACAAACAUGUGAGUUGUAUAAACUCCCUUUUUUAACUUGUGGCAAGAAAGCAACGUGGCACACUUUUCCUUCUUCUUUCAAGAAAUGGGAUAUGAAGAAACAAUUGCGCCAUUCAAAGUGUUGAUGAGCUGAUUUGUUUUUUUUGGUGAUUUGAACUCUGCAUUUGUUUUCUUUCCUUUCUAGUUGAAGGGUUGUUUUGUCUUAUAGGUUCAGUCAUAUUUUAUAAAACCACACCUUUGCAACAGGGAGCCCAUGACUCUCAGCAGCUUUCAGUUGGAAAUACAGACUUUAGGAGGAAGAUUAUCUCAUUUUCUCGUUUAAUAUUGUGCCAUAUGGAACCGCAUUAACGAUAAAGGUCUUGUCCCUCCAAAUGCACUAACUCUGUCAUUCCAUGGGCUCUAUUUCUAGAAUAGGUCAAGUCAUGUUGCCAUUCAUAUUUCAAACAUGCUAAAUGGAAAAAGAUGUUCAUAUGGUUCCGUUGUCCAAAUAGCUGUCCCCUUUCUAAUGAGACAAUAUAUGUGAGAGACCAUUUUCAGCAUCAGAUCUGGAAGACGGCCAUAUCAAUUUCUUGUUGAGCCAUUUAUCUUACCAACAUUGAUGAAUUCAUUAUGCUGACGAUUCCUGUUCCUAUUAUAAAAUGCCACCCGGAGAUGGGCCCCUGGUUGAAAUAGGCAGCAGAGAUAUCUACCCCAAUUAUUGUAAAAUUUUACUCCUUGGUAGAUCUAUCUUUCUUCUGCCGGAUCAUAUUAUUCAGCACACUAUUGUGCCUGCCUCCACCGAAGGUCUCUUUGACUUCUAAAUCAGUUUCAACCCCCCCCUUCAGAAAACCCUUUCCUUUAAUUGGGCCCUUUGAAGGUUCGGAAAAGAAUAGGAGACAUUAAUAAAACCUCAUUAUGGACCAAACCUCCAUCAUAUCGACCAAUCAGACUUUUUAUUAUACUGUAUCAUCAGCUUAAAGUGCUUGGAUUCAUAUACACGAUUUUCAUACUCAAGAGUGUAUUGAUGACAGGCAAGCAACAUUAUAUUAUUAUACAAGUUAAAAUGCUCCCUAACAGGCCCUCUUUUCUAAUUAACCGCGGGUGGGGGAAAAAUAGCCGUCAAUGAGCUUAUUCUUAUUCAAUAUAAUUUAAGAAUAAUGUUGGUUAUGGAACCACGCAGACCACAAGAUGAAUACGCUCAAAGAGUGCAUAAUGGCUCCAAAGUAAAAAAGGUUUCAUUAACAUUAUCGCCUAUUCAGGAAAUGCGCAUACACACAAUCCACUAGACAAAACACUUGCCAAUACUUCAGCCAAGAUGAAAAUAAUAUAGACGGUCUUUGCAUGCUGGUCUCACUCGCCACUGCUGUGGAAGUUUUGAUGGGAUGUGUGUCACUGGAUUAUCUCGCCUACCGUCCCUCCAGGCUCUCGUUGUAGAUCUGUGGCAAUGGGCACAGGCAUUUAGUGGGAUUCCCAAGUGUCACUGGCAGCACAGCAGAAACCCGCAAGGCUCCAGGAAACACAAUCUAUCAUUGUCAUAAGACCAAUCAUCCACAUCAGCAGUGCCUUUCUUUCAGCAGCAACCGUGACAACCAUUAAGCGCUCUCGCUGACCCCGUUCUGGUACAUAUUAUUUCCCUCUUAUCCUUUUUCUCUGUUUCAUAUAAUACAAAUAUCAUCAAACAGUGUAAAAAAAACAAAAACAAAACGUAGGUUUAGUUUUGUGCUGCUGCCAUGUUGAAACCACGGUCAUCGCCUUUAAAUAAAAUUGCUUCUAACCUCAGGGCAGAGUUUAAGUUAAGUGGUAAUUGCCUCCUAGAUUUCAAGUUGGAUUUGGAUUCUUUAUGCUCCAGAUAAAAGUCUAGGUCAUUUGAAAUCACAAUCGUUUGAUCAUCCUACUUUGUUCCUUUCUCUCCAGAUAAAAAACUGUUUGUAUGACAAAGAGCUAUUGGAUAUUGGAACUGCAAUAUUCACCAACUAUUGAGGGGUCAUGCUGUGAUAAACUCUAUGUGACCAGAAUCAUGACAGGAAAUGAAAGUUCUUUUUUUUUGAGGAAAGAACACUGGGGUAAAUCAGGGGCGGAGAGCAGAAUAUCUGACAGUUAUGAACAGUUCAGUGAGCACAAAUGACAAAGGCGAAGCUCAUAAAAUCUCAGCUGAGCAAGCUUUUACAAAACUAUUUACAAUCACUCCACAUUCGUUAUUACUCCGCUCUUUCUGUAGCAUUUUGAUGAAUUAUCUAUAUAUCUUUGUGAAUCAGUGGUUUGUACAUGACAGCCGUAACUUGCUUACCAAAAACCAUACGGUAUCUGACCUUUGCUAUUAUUGAAACAAAUCCUUCUUUGAGGGACACGGUGGCCUUAUCUCUAUGCAAGGCUGCAUGCAUGGAUCUACAGAUUGCAUGGUUCAUGUAGAUCUAAUCUCCAUGUAAAUUGACCCCACUCAAUAAAUGACUACCAGUUUGACAGCAAUAUGAACCUUUUAAAAUGUCUACUUCUCAGGGCUCGCCUCAGCUGUGCGCAUUUAUAACAAAACAAAUGCUCGUCAAGACGUAAAUUGGGGCUUUUCAACAUGUGUUCCUGUUGUGCAGAUCUUGGGGCUCAGAUUGAUCUAAACGUAACAGGGUAAGACUUGCACGACCUGUCUCGCGGGCUGCUGUGUCCAGUUAUUUAAGGUGACAAUGCUCGGCAGAAAAAAAAGUUCUGCUUGGUGUUCAAUUUGAAAUUCACUAGCGACAGGGCCUAGUGAGCCAAGAAGUUAAUUUCAAGCCAUGCUGGCGGUACACAAAUGAAAUGCGGUUUAUUUUGGUCUGUUAAAACGUUUUCAUGAGCCCAUAUUUCCUGCGUGUUUAGAUUUCACUUUACACAGCCCAACCAUAAAAUCCCGAUACAAAAUGUAAAAUUACCGGCCAUUCAAAACAUGCACACUCCAAAUCCCCAUGCGCUGACAGUCGUUAUAAGACAUUCACAGGCGUCAUAGUGCAUUCUGAGCUCUCUGCCCACACUGCUCCCACGUUCCUGCAGCUUGUUAAUGCAGAUUCCAACAAGAAGGCUUUUAUUCUCCGAGUGCAGAUCAUGAAAGAGGACGUUAGCUCAUUCCGUUUGAUGGAGCUUGCCACUUUGGCUUAUCCAGGGAGAUACCACUUCGGCCAAUCCCUGCGCAAAGAUGAGCCCUGGCUCUACACAUCUGGAACAGCUAAUAUGCACCUCUGGAGAGCAGUUCAAUUCAGGGCAUGGAGCCAUGUUUCAGCCGACCUGUGUCAAAACAGCUUACAAGCAGGAUCAUGCGUCAUGUUCUUUGGUUGUCCAAGCAGCAAAUGGACAUUGUCAUUUUAUAUGUCAGUCGUUUUAGGAAUGUAAAGAUCUGUAUCCAGUAUUUUAUUACAGAAACAACGAUGGAAAACAUUUCUUGAUCCCACGACUUCUGGCUUUAUUCUUUGCCCUUUUUUCGAAAAAUAUUUGCAAUAUCAUGAAUAUCAGGAAGCCAAGUGUUUAAUUGUUGUAUACACUACUAACAUUCUCUUGGAUGAAUUCUGCACAUCAAUCAUGAAUGAGCGCAUGGCUGCAGAAGACAGAUGUUUUGCCCCGAGCUGGAGAAUAACUGCCCUUGCGCCGUCCUUUUAAAAAACAUUUGUUGUGAGGGUCUGUGUUGAACAGCCGAGCAAGAAAACAUCCUCCAGCCGAACAGUCAUAAACAGGAUUGAUGUCCAGGACCAAGACGUUUGACUUUAUCCACUCGAGCUUGGGAAGGAUCAUUCAGCUUCAUUGAGCUGUUGUAAGGUUUUGAUGGAAUUGUUUUUUGCCACAAGUUUUUCUUUACCUGUUACAAGUCAUUACCACUGGGUACCACAUUACAGAGGGGAUCACGUGAAAGCUAGUGUUGGUUGCUCUCAGUUAAGAGGUGCCCUCUAGCUAGAGCAAAAGAUUUUAAAAAGUAUGUCUUAUUGGAAUAAAGUUUAAGCUAAGGAAACUCUGAAACUCAGUCCUCCCAAGAAAAAAUCCAAUAAAAUACACAAAAUCAAAAUCCCAUCAAAAAAACAAAACAUGAAUGUGAAUGGUUACAGAAAUAAAAACAAAUCCAUUUUUCAUUCAUUCAACUAAUAUGGAGCAAAUGCAAAAUCCUGGAAAUACUGCAGGUUCAGUCGCUCCAUAUAAUGCCUACGUUAUCCCCAAAGUUACGGCCAGAGUGCCCAUUGAUGUUCAUCUUUUAGAGUGACAUUAAUGCAAUGUUUGUUAUACUGUGCAGUCUCAGUUUGCCGCAUGGAAAAGAGGUUGGGAUAUGAUCCGCAGCGGUAUUAGCUCACAUCCUACACUCAGACA
Gasterosteus aculeatus aculeatus (three-spined stickleback) is the source of this 13014-nucleotide long non-coding RNA. NCBI's taxonomy places the organism in Eukaryota, Metazoa, Chordata, Actinopteri, Perciformes, Gasterosteidae. The record is from Ensembl.